CCUACGGUGGGCAGCAGUGAGGAAUAUUGGUCAAUGGUCGGGAGACUGAACCAGCCAAGCCGCGUGAGGGAGGAAGGUACAGAGUAUCGUAAACCUCUUUUGUCAGGGAACAAAGACUGGGACGCGUCCCCGGAUGAGUGUACCUGAAGAAAAAGCAUCGGCUAACUCCGUGCCAGCAGCCGCGGUAAUACGGAGGAGGCGAGCGGUAUCCGUGUUUAUGGGGUUUAAAGGGUGCGCGGGCGGUCUGUUAAGUCCGCGGUCAAAGCCCGGGGUUAACCCCCGGCCCGACGUUGAAACUGGCAGUCUCGAGUUGGAGAGAAGUAUGCGGAAUGCGCGGUGUAGCGGUGAAAUGCAUAGAUAUCGCGCAGAACUCCGAUUGCGAAGGCAGCAUGCCGGCUCCACACUGACGCUGAGGCACGAAAGCGUGGGUAUCGAACAGGAUUAGAUACCCCAGUAGUC
Molecule: ribosomal RNA, 459 nt
Filed under: uncultured bacterium
Lineage: Bacteria
Description: partial 16S ribosomal RNA
Rfam family: Bacterial small subunit ribosomal RNA
Source: RNAcentral